AGUGAACGCUGGCGGUAGGCCUAACACAUGCAAGUCGAACGGCAGCACAGUAAGAGCUUGCUCUUACGGGUGGCGAGUGGCGGACGGGUGAGGAAUACAUCGGAAUCUACUUUUUCGUGGGGGAUAACGUAGGGAAACUUACGCUAAUACCGCAUACGACCUACGGGUGAAAGCAGGGGAUCUUCGGACCUUGCGCGAUUGAAUUAGCCGAUGUCGGAUCAGCUAGUUGGCGGGGUAAAGGCCCACCAAGGCGACGAUCCGUAGCUGGUCUGAGAGGAUGAUCAGCCACACUGGAACUGAGACACGGUCCAGACUCCUACGGGAGGCAGCAGUGGGGAAUAUUGGACAAUGGGCGCAAGCCUGAUCCAGCCAUACCGCGUGGGUGAAGAAGGCCUUCGGGUUGUAAAGCCCUUUUGUUGGGAAAGAAAAGCAGCAGGUUAAUACCCCGCUGUUCUGACGGUACCCAAAGAAUAAGCACCGGCUAACUUCGUG
Molecule: ribosomal RNA, 492 nt
Filed under: uncultured bacterium
Lineage: Bacteria
Description: partial 16S ribosomal RNA
Rfam family: Bacterial small subunit ribosomal RNA
Source: RNAcentral